Molecule: ribosomal RNA, 499 nt
Filed under: uncultured bacterium
Lineage: Bacteria
Description: partial 16S ribosomal RNA
Rfam family: Bacterial small subunit ribosomal RNA
Source: RNAcentral
AUUGAACGCUGGCGGCAUGCCUUACACAUGCAAGUCGACGGCAGCACGGAGCUUGCUCUGGUGGCGAGUGGCGAACGGGUGAGUAAUAUAUCGGAACGUACCCAAGAGUGGGGGAUAACGUAGCGAAAGUUACGCUAAUACCGCAUACGAUCUAAGGAUGAAAGCAGGGGACCGCAAGGCCUUGUGCUCCUGGAGCGGCCGAUAUCUGAUUAGCUAGUUGGUGGGGUAAAGGCCCACCAAGGCAACGAUCAAUAGCUGGUCUGAGAGGACGACAAGCCACACUGGAACUGAGACACGGUCCAGACUCCGACGGGAGGCAGCAGUGGGGAAUUUUGGACAAUGGGGGCAACCCUGAUCCAGCAAUGCCGCGUGAGUGAAGAAGGCCUUCGGGUUGUAAAGCUCUUUUGUCAGGGAAGAAAAGGCUGUGGCUAAUAUCCAUGGCUCAUGACGGUACCUGAAGAAUAAGCACCGGCUAACUACGUGCCAGCCGCCGCGGUAA